Molecule: unclassified non-coding RNA, 1490 nt
Filed under: Drosophila mojavensis
Lineage: Eukaryota; Metazoa; Arthropoda; Insecta; Diptera; Drosophilidae
Description: GI25702
Source: RNAcentral
GAUGUUUUUUUCUAUAACUUUUAUUACUUUACUAUACCUAUUUUCAUCGAAAGUUACGGCUCAAGCUAAUCAAUUUAGAAUUGUGGGAGGUUUCGAUACCGACAUUUCGGAUGCUCCAUAUAUGGCCUCAUUGCGUGAGUUACGCAAGGAGAUUCGUGCACUGGGCAGUGGACAUUUUUGUGGUGGGACUAUUAUUAAAGAUCGUGUAAUUCUUACGGCAGCUCAUUGUUUAACUAAGUGGGUACGCCUCAGCGAAAAUGUUGCCUGUUCAUUCAGUUAAUUUUUGCUGCAGACGGAGCCCCGCCAAGGCAUUGGUUGUAGUGGGAUUCAAGUAUCUUUCCCUCAAUUGGCCGACGAUGAAGAAACUGAAAAUCUCAAAUUGGAAUUAUCAUAAAAAAUAUAGAAAGGAAAGAAAAGCAAUAUUCGAUAUUGGAUUGAUAUUCACAAUUGAAAAUAUAGAACCCGUUAAUGGGGCAAUCGCAUUUCUGCCCCUUAACACGGUGGAAAUAAGCCCUGGUACUAAAUGUCUAUUGUCUGGAUGGGGUCGAGUUGAGCACAAUGCACCCCAUAGAGCAAGUUGCCUGCAGUCAUUGUGGCAACGGAUUCUAGACAAAAGAGUAUGUUUUAAGAUCGCUAAUAGAUAUGACCUAUUGUGCACCAACUCAGGGCUUCCGACUGGGGCUAGUCGAGGUGAUUCAGGUGGUCCGCUGCGCUGCAACGAUAAACUUGCGGGUGUUAUCGCUGCCGGAGACCUACAUGGUCUCGCUUUAUAUACAGAUGUCCGGCCAUUUGCCGAUUGGAUAGAAGAACAGAUUAGGAAUGGAAUAAUGCCACUUGGCUCGUUUUGCAUUGGGAAGCACGUUGUUUUGGCCAUCAGCAUUUGUGUGGCCACCAUAUGCAAGUCGGGAUUUUAGACUCAGACUAAACCGAGUUACUUACAAUGACUUAUAAAUCAGUAGGCUUAUGAGUUUCGUUCAAUUAACAACUAAUAUUUCGAGAUUUAUAAAAUUCCAAAUUUCCUUGUCUGAAUUUUAGAAAACAAAUAUUAUGUCUCUAAUGCUAAUAUUGAUGAUUCAUAUCGUUUUAUUUUAUCCAUUGACAUCGGCGAAUGCUGGCUCUACGUAUUAAAACAUGUGGAAAUGAAGAAGUCCAGGUCAAAUUUGUUUACAUUCCGCUUGGAAACUGGGUCAUUGUGAGCGCGAGCGAGCGAGAUGGCAACAGCAAUGUUGUUAAGCGAUUGUUCGCCGCUGGGACGCAGCUUGAAAUCGCCAACACGAUGGCAACGUGGGACAUGCCCUACCAGCGGCGAUAACAACAAACUGAUCAAAAAAAAAUCAGCAUAACGUUCAAGCCGCUGUAAAUGCUCUAUCUCGUGGAACGAUAAUUGGCCAGAAAUCGCAACUAACUUCAAAUUAUUGUUCAUAUUUUUAUGGAAUGACCUAAGAAAUGGAAAGAAAUAAUUGUAAAUAAUUUUUAAUAUUAGUUUAGCG